Molecule: ribosomal RNA, 522 nt
Filed under: Stenagostus rhombeus
Lineage: Eukaryota; Metazoa; Arthropoda; Insecta; Coleoptera; Elateridae
Description: partial 16S ribosomal RNA
Rfam family: Bacterial large subunit ribosomal RNA (bases 386-522)
Source: RNAcentral
CAUGUCCUUUUGAUUAUGAUUUAAGGUCGGAUCUGCUCAAUGAGUAGUUAAAUUGCCGCGGUAUUUUGACCGUGCAAAGGUAGCAUAAUAAUUAGCUUUUUUAUUGAAGGCUGGAAUGAAUGAUUGGACGAGAGAAUUACUGUCUCUUAUUAAUUUAUUUUUUAAUUUUACUUUUAAGUUAAAAGGCUUAAAUAUUUUUCAAAGACGAGAAGACCCUAUAGAUUUUUAUAAGAUUUAUAUUAAUUAAGUUUUGGAAUUUUUUUUUCUUUAAUUUUCUUCUUAUUUGGUUGGGGUGACCUAAAGAUUUAAUAAACUCUUUAUUAUUAAUCAAUGAUUAUUGCUUUUACAAUCUAGAUUUUCUAAAUUUAAAAUAAAUUACCUUAGGGAUAACAGCGUUAUUUCUUUUUAGAGUUCUUAUUGAAAGAGAAGUUUGCGACCUCGAUGUUGGAUUAAAAUUUAUUUUAGGUGUAGAAGCUUAAAAAUUGGGUCUGUUCGACCUUUAAAAUUUUACAUGAUCUGAGU